UUAUAAUUACAGCUGCUGCCACUCAAUCUUCCUUCUUCUGCUGUCGACACCUGGCUUCUGCACGUGGGGAACUAAUGUUAUAUCUACUCACGUGCACUGACAUUACAGCUAUUACUCCUAAAUGGAUGGAUGUACACUCCUGCUAAUUCAAACCGAGUCCCAGCUUCCUCCGAACGAUAACCCUCGGCCGACUGCAGGUUAAACCAAGCACAAGACCUAUUUGAUUGAUGGUUUGUGAUAGUAAGAUGGACAAAUUCAACAAAUCAAUAUACGAGCAUGAAGAAGAUUCCACCAGAUCAUAGCACUUCUUUACUUUUGAUGAUAUGAUCCAAGGUUGAAUAAAUUUUAGUAUCUAAGUAUGGCACCAUGUUGCCAAGGUGAAUAUGAGAAGCGAAGUGAUGGAGCACCUUACACAGGCUAUCCUGCUCAAUCCUGCAUCAGCUUCCUUAGUCUACAAUGCCAGACCCUCACAAUUUAGAGUUAUGGCUAAAGGUUAUUCGAGUAUUGAUGAUGACUCCAUUCCUGGCUUGGAAUUAGAUUCUGAUAGUGAAUACAGAAACAAUAAUACAGGACUCUCGGAAAGUGGUACUUGAGAAUAAUCAAAUAUUCGCGACAAAAUAUGGUCUCAGGAUCAAAUACUGCUGGGAUACUUAGGAUCUUAUGCUAUGAUUUAUUUUAUGAUGUGCCUGAGGAUGUAGCAGAGAAGAAGGUUAGUUCCUGUGGUUGAGUUUGAGAAUUAUAUAUUGUUGUUAUGUUGGCUGAUUUAAUUGAUGUUUUUGAUGUUUUCCAUAUUCUUAAUUUUUUAUAUGUUUUAUGUUUCCUGCAGUGAAUGUUAUGAUGUCUCAUAGGGAUGUUGACCUUAAUUGCAAUAAGAGACUAGCAGAAUCCCUUGAUUUUCGAAUUCAAAAGAUGGUCCACUGGGAAGGAGGGGAACUUGCGCGCAAGCUCUCAACCCUGCAAUAUAUCCUUGGUCCUGGUAGUGAUUGGCAACCAAUAUCCCUGACAGAUAUUAUAAUGUCUGAAUUCUGAUGCUGUAAAGAAAGCUUACCGAAAAGCCACUCUCCAUGUCCAUCCAGACAAGUUGCAGCAGCAAGGGGCAAGCAUCCGGGAAAAGUACAUUUGCGAGAAGGUUUUCGAUCUCCUCAAAGUU
Daucus carota subsp. sativus is the source of this 1150-nucleotide long non-coding RNA. RefSeq lists it as uncharacterized. The transcript is spliced from 10 exons. NCBI's taxonomy places the organism in Eukaryota, Viridiplantae, Streptophyta, Magnoliopsida, Apiales, Apiaceae. The record is from RefSeq and is a predicted model, not a curated record.